AGAACAGGACAUGAAGGUUCUACAGGAAAACACGUGUCUGAGCCUCCUGUGGUUCUAAUAUGAAGGUUCUACAGGAGAACACGUGUCUGAGCCUCCUGUGGUUCUAAUAUGAAGGUUCUACAGGAGAACACGUGUCUGAGCCUCCUGUGGUUCUAAUAUGAAGGUUCUACAGGAGAACACGUGUCUGAGCCUCCUGUGGUUCUAAUAUGAAGGUUCUACAGGAGAACACGUGUCUGAGCCUCCUGUGGUUCUAAUAUGAAGGUUCUACAGGAGAACACGUGUCUGAGCCUCCUGUGGUUCUAAUAUGAAGGUUCUACAGGAGAACACAUGUCUGAGCCUCCUGUGGUUCUAAUAUGAAGGUUCUACAGGAGAACAUGUGUCUGAGCCUCCUGUGGUUCUAAUAUGAAGGUUCUACAGGAGAACACAUGUCUGAGCCUCCUGUGGUUCUAAUAUGAAGGUUCUACAGGAGAACAUGUGUCUGAGCCUCCUGUGGUUCUAAUAUGAAGGUUCUACAGGAGAACACAUGUCUGAGCCUCCUGUGGUUCUAAUAUGAAGGUUCUACAGGAGAACACGUGUCUGAGCCUCCUGUGGUUCUAAUAUGAAGGUUCUACAGGAGAACACGUGUCUGAGCCUCCUGUGGUUCUACUGGUGUGAGGAG
This is a long non-coding RNA of Acanthochromis polyacanthus (spiny chromis), 658 nucleotides long. RefSeq lists it as uncharacterized. Lineage: Eukaryota; Metazoa; Chordata; Actinopteri; Pomacentridae. The record is from RefSeq and is a predicted model, not a curated record. The transcript has 4 exons.